CGGACGGGUGAGUAACACGUGGAUAACCUACCUAUAAGACUGGGAUAACUUCGGGAAACCGGAGCUAAUACCGGAUAAUAUUUUGAACCGCAUGGUUCAAAAGUGAAAGACGGUCUUGCUGUCACUUAUAUAUGGAUCCGCGCUGCAUUAGCUAGUUGGUAAGGUAACGGCUUACCAAGGCAACGAUGCAUAGCCGACCUGAGAGGGUGAUCGGCCACACUGGAACUGAGACACGGUCCAG
Molecule: ribosomal RNA, 241 nt
Filed under: uncultured Staphylococcus sp.
Lineage: Bacteria; Bacillati; Bacillota; Bacilli; Caryophanales; Staphylococcaceae
Description: partial 16S ribosomal RNA
Rfam family: Bacterial small subunit ribosomal RNA
Source: RNAcentral